UGUUUAUUUUACCUUGUUGCUUCGGCGGGCCCGCCUUAACUGGCCGCCGGGGGGCUUACGCCCCCGGGCCCGCGCCCGCCGAAGACACCCUCGAACUCUGUCUGAAGAUUGUAGUCUGAGUGAAAAUAUAAAUUAUUUAAAACUUUCAACAACGGAUCUCUUGGUUCCGGCAUCGAUGAAGAACGCAGCGAAAUGCGAUACGUAAUGUGAAUUGCAAAUUCAGUGAAUCAUCGAGUCUUUGAACGCACAUUGCGCCCCCUGGUAUUCCGGGGGGCAUGCCUGUCCGAGCGUCAUUGCUGCCCUCAAGCACGGCUUGUGUGUUGGGCCCCGUCCUCCGAUCCCGGGGGACGGGCCCGAAAGGCAGCGGCGGCACCGCGUCCGGUCCUCGAGCGUAU
This 395-nucleotide unclassified non-coding RNA is filed under the name Penicillium chrysogenum. RNAcentral's name for it is "sequence contains 18S rRNA gene, ITS1, 5.8S rRNA gene, 28S rRNA gene". The stretch from base 141 to 293 matches the Rfam family "5.8S ribosomal RNA". Lineage: Eukaryota; Fungi; Ascomycota; Eurotiomycetes; Eurotiales; Aspergillaceae. The record is from RNAcentral.